GAGACACCCCUCUGGGGCAAGACUUGCUUCAAUGGGGCUUUGGUGGUCACUGGGUCUGCCCCCUGAGUGUGUCCUU
This 76-nucleotide microRNA precursor is filed under the name Myotis davidii. Its description in RNAcentral is "mir-9229 microRNA precursor family". It matches the Rfam family "mir-9229 microRNA precursor family". Lineage: Eukaryota; Metazoa; Chordata; Mammalia; Chiroptera; Vespertilionidae. The record is from Rfam by way of RNAcentral.